Molecule: non-coding RNA, 115 nt
Filed under: Clostridiales bacterium
Lineage: Bacteria; Bacillati; Bacillota; Clostridia; Eubacteriales
Description: FMN sequence
Rfam family: FMN riboswitch aptamer (RFN element)
About the family: The RFN element is a highly conserved domain that is found frequently in the 5'-untranslated regions of prokaryotic mRNAs that encode for flavin mononucleotide (FMN) biosynthesis and transport proteins. This element is a metabolite-dependent riboswitch that directly binds FMN in the absence of proteins. In Bacillus subtilis, the riboswitch most likely controls gene expression by causing premature transcription termination within the 5' untranslated region of the ribDEAHT operon and precluding access to the ribosome-binding site of ypaA mRNA.
Source: RNAcentral
AGAAGUCUUCAGGGCAGGGUUAAAUUCCCUACCGGUGGUAUAGCCCACGAACCGAGAGGUAUGAUUUGGUGAAAUUCCAAAGCCGACAGUAUAGUCUGGAUGAAAGAAGAUAAAU